AUGGUAGGAUAGAGGCCUACCAUGGUGGUAACGGGUAACGGGGUGUUAGGGCACGACACCGGAGAGGGAGCCUGAGAAACGGCUACCACAUCCAAGGAAGGCAGCAGGCGCGCAAAUUACCCAAUCCCGACACGGGGAGGUAGUGACAAUAAAUAACAAUACAGGGUUCUUUCGGAUUUUGUAAUUGGAAUGAGUACAAUUUAAAUCUCUUAACGAGGAACAAUUGGAGGGCAAGUCUGGUGCCAGCAGCCGCGGUAAUUCCAGCUCCAAUAGCGUAUAUUAAAGUUGUUGCAGUUAAAAAGCUCGUAGUUGAAUUUCGGGAUCAAGUCGUCGGUCGUGCUCAGGUACGUACUGGCGUCAUUGAUUUCUCCCUUCUGACGAACCAUGAUGUCAUUAAUUUGGUGUUAUGGGAAAUCAGGACUGUUACUUUGAAAAAAUUAGAGUGUUUAAAGCAGGCUCACGCUUGAAUACAUUAGCAUGGAAUAAUGAAAUAGGACGUUCGAUCCUAUUUUGUUGGUUUUAGGAUCAACGUAAUGAUUAAUAGGGAUAGUUGGGGGCAUUAGUAUUCAAUUGUCAGAGGUGAAAUUCUUGGAUUUAUUGAAGACUAACUACUGCGAAAGCAUUUGCCAAGGAUGUUUUCAUUAAUCAAGAACGAAAGUUAGGGGAUCGAAGACGAUCAGAUACCGUCGUAGUCUUAACCAUAAACUAUGCCGACUAGGGAUCGGAUGAUGUUAAUUUUUUAAUGACUCAUUCGGCGCCUUACGGGAAACCAAAGUGUUUGGG
This 783-nucleotide ribosomal RNA is filed under the name uncultured Glomus. RNAcentral's name for it is "SSU rRNA". It matches the Rfam family "Eukaryotic small subunit ribosomal RNA", at positions 325 to 1111 of the family's 1831-position model. Lineage: Eukaryota; Fungi; Glomeromycota; Glomeromycetes; Glomerales; Glomeraceae. The record is from RNAcentral.